Molecule: unclassified non-coding RNA, 352 nt
Filed under: soil metagenome
Description: partial contains 5.8S ribosomal RNA, internal transcribed spacer 2, and large subunit ribosomal RNA
Rfam family: 5.8S ribosomal RNA (bases 1-120)
Source: RNAcentral
GAUGAAGAACGUAGCGGAAUGCGAUAAGUAAUGUGAAUUGCAGAAUUCAGUGAAUCAUCGAAUCUUUGAACGCACAUUGCGCCCGCCAGUAUUCUGGCGGGCAUGCCUGUUCGAGCGUCAUUACAACCCUCAGGCCCCCGGGCCUGGCGUUGGGGAUCGGCGGAGCCCCCCGUGGGCACACGCCGUCCCCCAAAUACAGUGGCGGUCCCGCCGCAGCUUCCAUCGCGUAGUAGCUAACACCUCGCGACUGGAGAGCGGCGCGGCCACGCCGUAAAACACCCAACUCUUCUGAAGUUGACCUCGAAUCAGGUAGGAAUACCCGCUGAACUUAAGCAUAUCAAUAAGCGGAGGA